Molecule: transfer RNA, 67 nt
Filed under: Microcerotermes baluchistanicus
Lineage: Eukaryota; Metazoa; Arthropoda; Insecta; Blattodea; Termitidae
Description: tRNA-Ala
Source: RNAcentral
GGGACUAUAGUUAAUAAUAACAUUUGAGUUGCAUUCAAAAAGUACUACCCACUAGUAGUUAGCCUCA